Pelobates cultripes (western spadefoot toad) is the source of this 357-nucleotide non-coding RNA. Lineage: Eukaryota; Metazoa; Chordata; Amphibia; Anura; Pelobatidae. The record is from the annotation of a GenBank genome assembly.
CUGGGAUGCAAAUUGUUCAACUGGAGCAGACCCCGCAGGGUCCUCAGUGUGCGGAAUAUUGAGACGUUCAGUCUCCAUCCAUUGACGUCCCUCCAGAGUCGAGAAACCCAGUCCGCCCAUAGGAUGUCAAAUUCUGGUAAGGAUACUGCUCAUAGAGUGGUGUUGCGAGGCAGGCAGAAUCGGUAUAUGUCCAUUGUCACCUCUGUGAGAUCCCGGAUCAUGCUCUGUCCAUGCUCCCACCACAUGAGCCAGGAUUCGGAAAGGGAUAGAGUCCUUGUGCAGAGUAUCAUUAUUAUGUGGUUUAUUUUAUAUCACACAUCUUGAGAUUGCGAUUAUCUGUUAUGAUUACUUAUUACA